UACGUAGGGUGCAAGCGUUAAUCGGAAUUACUGGGCGUAAAGCGUGCGCAGGCGGUUAUGUAAAGACAGAUGUGAAAUGCCCGGGCUUAAACCUGGGAACUGCAUUUGUGACUGCAUGGCUAGAGUUUGGCAGAGGGGGGGUAGAAUUCCACGUGUAGCAGUGAAAUGCGUAGAUAUGUGGAGGAACACCGAUGGCGAAGGGCAGCCCCCUGGGUCAAGACU
Molecule: ribosomal RNA, 222 nt
Filed under: uncultured bacterium
Lineage: Bacteria
Description: partial 16S ribosomal RNA
Rfam family: Bacterial small subunit ribosomal RNA
Source: RNAcentral